This 34301-nucleotide long non-coding RNA is filed under the name Citrus x clementina. RNAcentral describes it as "Citrus clementina (C. clementina) long non-coding RNA (CCLE_LNC000732)". Lineage: Eukaryota; Viridiplantae; Streptophyta; Magnoliopsida; Sapindales; Rutaceae. The record is from RNAcentral.
AUCUUCAAAAUAUAACAGCGGUAUAUAGAACAAAACUCGUUGUCAUUUUGUUCAAUUAACUAGUAUUAUAAGUACAGGUAGCAAAAUUAACUCACCCAAUUGAAUUUGUAGUGCAUUGGAAAAUUAUCUAUCCAGAACAUAUAUGAACCUCAAUGUAGUUUAGAUAUACUCAGAAGACCAGUGCAAUUCAUAUGGGAUCGCGCCAUCAUCGAAGAAGAUUCUUUUGAUUUUCUCUAUUCGCCAGUUCAAUCAGCUCCAAGCCAUUGGUGUCGGGUAAAAUUCUAUACACACCUCCAAGGCAUUGGUGUCGGGUAAAAUUCUAUACACACACACACAAUAAAUGUGCAAUAACCCAUCAAUGUAUAUAGAAUCAAUCAAUCAACUUUGAUCAAGGUAACGUAUUUCAUAUCCAAUUUUGAACGUUAAUGUCUCUUUCAGUCCUAGGGUCUGAGUUAAUUACCCUAUUAGUCCUUGAAUCUAUAAGUUAUUUGUUUUUGUAAAAUCAACUUAAUUAUACUUAACCUUUCAUAUGUUGCAUGUCAAACCAAAAAAAAAAAAAAAAAAACCUUCGCUCGUAAAAAGUUAGAUCUAACAGUUGUGGAAAUAACACUAGAAACCAACUAAUAACCAAAACUGAAAACUCAGUGGAAUAUAUAAAGGGGAAAUUACUCAAUUUUAAACGUAAGCAUAUAUAAGCAGCACUGCAGCGCACAUCUGUUUCUAAGGUUUCUUUACUUUUAUUAUUAUUGUUGUUAUUAUUGCUUUACUAUGUACUCAACAAUUAUAGUAUGAAUUGCUGAUGUUCCACUUUCAUAGAAAGAUAACUAUUUCUACUCGUACAAUUGGGCAAAUAAUAAAGCUGUGCAAAAGGCUCUGAGAGUUCGGGAGGUAUGUUAUGGUUGGUUAGAGCAUAGUCGCAACCCAAAUCAUUAAAUAUUAUUUUUACUAAUACAUUCCCAUAUGAGCAGGGGACAGUAGAAUAUUGGACGAGAUGCAAUAAAAGUUUGUCUUACACAUCUGAUGUCUCAAGUGGUGUUGAUUAUCACCGAAAGCUCACCAAGAAAGGCUAUCAAGUUUUGGUUUACAGGUAAUAAUAUAUAGACAAGUUAUUAGGAGCGUAUGUUCCAAUAUUUUAGAAUGCCAACAUUUUGAAGGAUGAAUAAAUUCAUCAAUGAUCGGGAAUGUUCAAUGAUCCGGAAUAUUUAACUAAUGAAAUGAUAGUUUGGAAUAUGCCUGAUUGCUUUUUAUACAUGAGACUUCUUCUCCUUCCUCGAAUUUUUCCACAAACGUAAUUCAAGCCUGUAUCUAAAAAGACACUUUAAUAACGCUCUGGUUAGCUCAUAUUUUAUGACUUUUUGGUAAAUCAAAUUUAGUUUUGUCUUCUUCUAGUGCAGUCAAUAGUCCCUUCUUGAUUUUUUUGACCCAUAUUUGAGUCUUAAAUUGAGUCUCAAUAUUAUGUGUCACUCAUUUACUAGAUGAUGGACGUGAAGGCUUUUAAAGUCACUUAACUAGCAUCCAAUAAAUGAAUGCUACAAUAAUUGAAACUUAAAUUUUGAGAUACCUAGUAUUGCUCUUAAAAAUUUAUCACGGAGGUGCUAUGAUGGACUAAGUUUCUAGCUAUCUCGUAGUCUACACAUUGGACUAAUUUUCUUUCACGAAUACAGCGGAGAUGUCGACAUGGUAGUUCCAUAUAUGGCUACUGAAGCAUGGAUAAAGUCAUUAAAUUUGACGAUUGAAACUGGCUGGCAGCCGUGGUUGGUGGAAAGUCAAGUUGCAGGGUUGGUUUAUUUUCAUCUCAGCUUGUUUAUCAUAUUUGGAAUAUUAACUUUAACAUUAUAUGAUAUCUCACAGUUGUUUUAAUUUCUACUAUUGAUUUCUGUAGAUAUUGGUACCGUUACAAGGGAAAGAACAAUUAUCAUUUGACAUUUGCCACAGUAAAGGCAAGAAUAAAUCAUUUUCCCUGAAAACUAUCUACCGUGAUUAAUUAGCUAAUUAAGCAGCUAAAUUAUAUAAUUAAUGACUACUAAUUGUGUAAUUAAUAUGGGUUGUGCAGGGAGCAGGUCAUAAUGGUCCAGAGUACAGGCCUAAGGAAUGUCUUGCAAUGAUCGACAGGUGGUUCGCAUCCUAUCCUCUCUAGAGCCACGUUCAUAUAAUUAUUAAGUUUUGGAGAUUGAAAAAUAAAUGUGGAGCUUAAGUGGCUGAUGGCGUUGUAAACACCCAUAAAAUUAUUUAUGUUUGGCUUUACCAAACUUAUGAUCUGAAAAACUAGUAUUGCAAGAGCCUUGAUGCUCCUAUUUGCUUUUUUAAAAACAUCGCUCCAAACUCAUUUGUGUACGGUUUUUUUUCAUCUCAACUUGGUAAUCAUAUUUGUCUUAUGAAAUAAUUAUAAUUUAUGAAUCCUGUCACACGUCUGCCAUAUAUAAAGCCUCGGGAUCAAAAACUGUGACAUGAGUAAUCGUCAGAGCCGCUUUGCAUUCAAUAAAAGUGACACAAAAAUUUAAUGGGAAUUCUAUUGAAAUUGAUUGAUUGGACAAAAUGAGAGGAGGAAAUACCUCCACGUCUACCCAUUAAUUAUAAUACAACACUGGUAGGUACUUUUUUUUUUUUUUUUUUUUUUUUGAGAAUGGUAGGUACUAAUUUCUGGUGUUCAAUACCACCAAAAAAAAAAUCGAAAAAUUUACAUCAAUAGCCAUAAAAAUUUUGGCUUUUUUCAUCUUAACUCCCCAAACAAACUUCUAUCAACAUUAGUCAUAAAAGAGUCUUUGAGACCAAAAUACCCUUCUCUCUCAUCUCCAUAAUGUUGGUGAGCUUGCCUUGGCGCAACAACUCGCCGAUUCUGUCAAGCCUUUAAAUCAGCCAUGUCGGCAGUAGAAACACGCUCCAUUUCGGAAAUGGCGUCGUCAGAGAUUUUGGACUCGGUUUCACUGACCUCGUAAUCUUCAAGACCAGAGAAGCUCGCUCUGUCUCGGACUUCCCUACGUGGGCUGCCGGAAGAGAUGAAGGCGUUGGUGAAUCUGAGAUAUUUGAAUUUGGAGGAAACAUCUAAAAUGUCUAGGAUUCCAAAGCAGUUGAUAUCCAGCAUUUCGAAGUUACAGGUACUCAGGAUGCUCAAAUGCAGUGGAAGCGUUCUAUCUGACGAUGCAGAACCUUUGAUGAAGGAACUGCUCUGUUUGGAACAUUUGGAUGUUAUCAGCUUGACAUUAGAUUGUUCACGUGCCAAUGUCAUCCCAAUUCUUUUCAAGUAUCGAAAGCUGGUGAGCGUUACUCAAUCUCUGGAGAUUAGUUCCUUCUGGUUUAGUCCAAGGCUCAAUGCCUCAGAUCUAGCAAAUCUGGCUAGCAUGGAAAAGCUUGGGGAGUUGAAUUUUAUGUUGUGUAAUUUUGAAGAGUUUAAGAGCACAGGAGAUGUAGAGAAAGUUCUUCAAAGUCGUUUCCGCAGUCUUCGCAAAAUUGUAAUAAAUGGGUGCGAAGUGAAGGACUUGACGUGGCUUGUUUUUGUUCCAAACCUCUAGCAGCUACAUAUAAGUUUGGUUUAGAAGAAUUGAAGAGCAUCUGUUGGAGCCCGUUGCCUGGAAGUGUUGGUGCGACAGGCGCCUGUCGCACCAAGGCCAUUUGGUGACCACUUGGUGCGACAUGCCGUUUCUUCUUCUUGCUUUCACCUUCUUGAUUUCUCACCCUCGGAACAAAAGACACUAACGAUAUACUUUUAGUUAACACAUUAUUCUUGCGACUGCCAAACAACAAAGUUGACAAAGAAUGCUUUCCCUGAUGAUCCGUAGUAGUAACGCGAUACUUAUUAUACACUGGAGAAGAACAAGAAGAAGCCUCAGAAGAAAAAUAGUAAGACGAUAACGAUGAGGAAGAAGAAUAAGCAAUUCUAAGAAAAAAAAUUGGGGUGUAAUCGUAUGAGAUAUAAGCAGUGUGAAAACUAUAAUAUGGACAUUUAACGGCUUACAUCACCUUUUACAAUUUGUUAAAAAGAUUGAAUUCAGAACGCAAAAGCAACCCUGGUAAAAGCAAUAAUAAUGACGAUGAUGGGAGUUUGUUCGAUUUGGGAGAGAUGUGAGAAAGAGAGUGUUGGGGGAGAGAUGAGAAAGAGGGGUAUUUUGGUCUCAAAUGUUCUUUUAUGGCUAAUGUUGAUAGAAAUUUGUUUGGGGGGUUAAGAUAGAAAAAGCUAAAAUUUUUAUGGCUAUUGGUGUAAAUUUCCCAAAAAAACCUCGGUUUCUAGGUGGAAUAAUUAAUAACAUAAGACUCUUUCACAAGAUUAUAUAAGAUAUGAAUUACCAAAAAGACAAAUUCAUAUUUCACUUGUGAUAAGUGUAAUGAAUGCCGUACCUUUCUCAGUCUUCAUCAGUUCAUUGAGCAUUAUGGCAGCAUUGCAAUUAUUUUACCUUUUCGUUGUCUCUAGCGUUGUUGCAUCACGCCAAAUAAUCAGAACCCUACCGGGCUUUGAUGGUGAUCUCGCAUUCAAACUAGAAACUGGGUAAGAAUUCCAGCUAGAGCAUGUUGUUUAGCUCUAGCUAAUUAAUUUAACGCUGUAUUAAUUAUUUGCAGGUAUAUUGGUGUGGGAGAUAAUGAUGAUGUGCAGCUGUUUUACUACUUUAUUAAAUCCGAGAGGAGUCCUGAAGAUGACCCUCUUGUGCUUUGGCUCACCGGCGGCCCUGGCUGUUCUGGAUUUUCUGGCCUUGUCUUUGACAUUGGUAUGAGAAUAAUAUCCAUUUAUUCCGCUAAUUAUCGUUGUCUUUACUCUUUUAAUAACAUUUUUGAAGAGAAUCUAAUUUUAUAAGUUUCCAUUACCAUUAAAAGAUCAUGGACGAAAUGUUUCCUUUUUCAUUUUUAAAUCAUACUAUUCAAUUAAUGUAGGUCCAUUGUCAUUUGACUAUGAAAAUUCCAAGGUAAACUCACCCAAGUUUUUGUUGAACCCAUACUCGUGGACAAAGGUACGACAUAGUUUCUCUUUGUUCUUCUAUUUUGUAAAUGGUAAGUUUAAUUAAUAAUUAGAACAGGGUUUGCAUCAGAGAUCUUUCUUAAAGCUGAAGUGAGCUUUGUUAGUGCCUCAGGGCUCCGGCUCGACAUCAUUCUAUUCAAAGUAUUUAUAUUUUGGCCCCUUACGAUAUAUUAUUUUAUGUUUUGGCGAUUUCAGUUUUACUUAUUUGCAAUGUGCCUCCCAAUUUUAGAUGUAAAUUCUAUUAGUUUGGCUACAAUUAUGUCUCUUUUUGUCACGGCUCCUCUCCCGACUGAGACUUGAGAGAGUUGUCAAUUAUUUUACAGGUUGCCAACGUUAUAUUCUUAGAUGCACCUGUAGGUACAAGAUUCUCAUACGCCAAUACUUAGGCAAGGAUACAUCAUGAAUGAUGCACUUUCAGCAGCACAAAACUAUUAUUUUUUAAGAAAAGUGAGGACAAAAAAUUGCUAUUCGUACGGAUUAACAAAUAUAUAUAAUAACAAACGAACAAAGAUUAAAAAAUUAAUAGAUUUUAAAUUUUUUUUUGAAUUUUUAUGAUUUGUUGUGAUUUUGUAUUUGUGGUUUUGUUUGUUGCUUAAAUGCUGUUGGAAACUUGGAAUAUUACCUAGUUCUAGAUGACAUUUUCAAAAAAUUUAAGGCUUCAUGAAACUCUUGGCACUCUAUAAUAAAACUUCUCUAUAAUUAUACUCUAUAUAAAAAUAAUUCUCUAUAGUUUGAAGAGGGAUAUUGCUAAUUUUUUUUACUAAAAUUAACUAUACCAUUUAUCUCUUAUUGCUUUCAUAAUAGCUAAUAACCUUCCUAACAACAUAAUUUUAUAGUAUUAUCAUUAUUUUCAAAUACAUUUUUAAUUAUAUUUAUUAUAAGAAAGUGUUUAUAAAAUAACAAAAAGUACAAGAAUCUUAUUAUUAAUUUUUAUUCACAUCGAGACAUAUAUUUGUUGUUUUUAGUACUUAAAUAAUUUUAUUUUAAUUUUUAUUUAUAUGAUUUAUUUAAUUUAUAAUAAAUAUAGAUAAAAAGUGUAUUUAAAAAUAAGAGUUGGAAAAUUGAUAAGCCUUGUUAUUUUGAAGGCCAUAUGAUUUAUGCCGGAAGCAGAAGAAGUGCUCUCGGGAGAUAUUUUUAGUAUUGCUAUCAGACAUUGGAAAAUUGAUAUUGAUUGCGAUUUUGAAGAAUAUUUGUAUUGAUUCUCUAAAUAAGAAUCCAUUAAUUGGUUUAGUUACGUUUCUGAUUGGAAAUGAAAUAUAAGGUGUACGAAUGAAUUUUAAUUUUGAAUUGUAGAAGCCGAAAUAUGCAGUCCAUGAAUUUUAAUUUGCUUUGUUAAAGUGUAGCAUUUGAGACCAAAUUUUUUAGCAGAACUUUAAUUCUUAGGGCCAAGGACCCAAUAAGCCUCAACAUAUACUGCCCCCAUGCUUCCCGUGUUGCUUUUGGUAACUACGAAAGGGAGUAUUGAUAGCUACAUAAUUUCUAAUACAUUAAGACAUGGUUUUAUUUGUCCUUGACCAUACAAGUUAGUCCCUGUCCCCUAUUAAAUUGACCAACCUACCAAUAGAGUACUGAAUCUAAAUUUUGAUCAUCACAAUAUAUAGUGAAAAAAGAAUAUUUCGGUAAUUUACUAUAGGAGUUGGGAGUCUAUUUGAUCAAUCAAAAAACAUUUUCUUAAAUACUUGAUGCUACCGUCCAAAAUUGCAGCCCAAAUUUGCCUUAGAUGCUACCGUUACCCAAAAUAAAAUCAAAAUAGGAGCCAGCGCAGUAUAAAUUUACAGAAUCAUUGAUUUCUUAAGCCAUGUAUUGCUUCACACUUUUUAGAAUCCAAUUUCUUCAAUCUCAAAUUGUCCCAGUUAAUUAAUUAUUGACCAUGAAAAGCAAGGAAAAAAAGAAAACCACAUUCAUGCAAAUUAUGUCAUCACCUGUCUUGCUUCUAAGGAAUGCUAGGGAUUCUUACAUCAACAGCUUCAAUGGCUGUGCCAAUGACGUUGGACGAGGCGGCGCGGUGGUCUGUCCGGUUCCACAUGUGUUGAGUACAUAAAAGCACCAGGUCGGCCAUGCUACUAUUUCCGCCCCGGCACGGAUCGCUUCAGCCAAAGUGAUAUGAGCAGAACACGUGGGCUAACAUGAGCCGACCAGAGAUGAAUACAACCAGGGAAAAAUACCGACCAGAGGUAUAUACCGAGCGGGCACUCAUCCCCAGAGAAGCGAGAACACGAUCCCACAGAAUCGUGGUAGUUGCGCUUUUCCCAAAACCGUUGAAGGACACGCGAGAUCCACGUUUGCCCACAAUGUAACAAUUAGAGUCCCAUGAGGGGCUGCCACUACCUGAAAAAGGUGGGAUGAAUGGCAAACGGAAACGUGGGGAUAACGGCUAUAAAAGAAGAAGAAAUCGAUGAAGAAAAGGAAGAAAAACUGAGAGAGGGAAAACGCUGCCAAAUUGCAACCAGGCCAUUUCCUUACAAAUUUCUAACAAACUUCUUGAAUCCAAAUUACAUUGUUUUCCCGUAAAUACCUUGUGCUAACUUAGGCAUCGGAGGGUUUACGCCGGCAAAACCACCGGCGUCUUUGACCCAUUUUUGUGAACGCAGGUCUAGUGAGAGAAAUGAGGGUGAUACCAGCCUUAGUGGUUCGAACAAACAGUCGAUAAUACAAACGUUGGUGAAAGAAUCUGGUCGGUCCAAGGGCGAGCAGAUUUCAGCAUCAACAUUUUGGCGCCGUCUAUGGGGAGCUGGAUAAAAAGCUACCACCGAAUCAGUAAUUACCGGAGAAACAGCGAACGAUUGUUAUGGAUGUGCCGAGAAAGGAUGCUUUGAGGGAGGAUAACGAAACUGUGGAGACAAUUACUCUCCGGAAAAUUACAAACGAAGCCCGGGAGAGGAUGAUGCAAGACCGAUUGGAACGGAUGGAGAAACAAAUGGAGACUCUCGCGACCAUACUGUAUGAGCUGAGGGAUGAGCGGAGAAAGGAUUGUGAAACCCCCGUGGGGAGAGAUGAUGUUGGAGCAGAGCCCAGCUUCCGGAGGCGUAGAGUUGAGGAAAUCCCUCCGCCGGUAGACCAACUUGAUGGGGUGCAUCCCCACAGAAGCACUAGUCGGGUUUUAGGAGAACGAGUAGAUGAAAGAAGGGACCAACCUCGCCCCGGAUGGGUACCGGAGAUUGAUGGCCGAGGGGCCAGUAUUGAUGAAGGAGAGCUCAGACAGCGGUUGCAAAACCCCGAGCAGGAACGAGCUCAGAUAGCUGCGCGUGAUCCUGACCGUGCUAUAGAAUUGGAGGAAGAAGUGUGCAAAUUAGCGCAAGUGAUAGAGGAGAUACAGGGCAAGAAAAAGCCCCUGAGCUGGAGGAUAAUGCUAGAUGAAGAAUCUCCAUUAUCAGCUGUGAUCAUGGGUACCAUAAUCCCAAGAGAUUUCCGCUUCCCCGACCUCAAAUACUCCGGGCGAAGUGAUCCACUGGUGCAUAUUGAACGUUUCAACGACGUGACGGGCGUGCAAGGGUUAACACCAGCCCAGAGAUGUAGGGUGUUACCAUUGACACUGGAAGGACGAGACCGAGAAUGGUACCGCAAGCUGACACGAGGAAGUAUCAGAGGGUACGAGUAGAUGUGCCAAGAGUUGGCCGAACAGUUCCGAGGAGCAGUGGCCCCAGAGGAUGAUAUGAUGGAGCUAAUAGGAAUGAAGCAGGAGGAACAAGAAUCCCUUCGGGAUUUUGUAAAACGAUAUCACCGAGCCGUGCUUGAUUUGGGAGCUUUCAAUCACCCGCAGGCGUUGAGGGGAUUAAAGGAGGGAGUGAGGAUAGGCCGGCUAUGGUAUAACCUGAGAAGUCCCUUGGUACAGAAUUACUCAGCGGGGUAUGAGCAGGCAAAGAGAGACAUUGAAAUCGAAGAGGAAAAGUCGGCGAUGAUAAAAAGUGAACAGCUGAAGGAGCUGAGAAGAAAGGAAAGGAGAACCCCGAGUGGGAGCGGAUCGGGAAAGCGAGUUGGGGAAUCUUCAGCUAAGGGCGGAAUAUCAGCUCGGUCCCGCCCUUACCCUGUAGCUUUGAGACCGCAAUAGUUCCAACACAGCCGAGCCCAACCUCCUCGUACUUCAUUCCCGGAGCGGCAACGAGAAUUCAGGCAAAUGGCUGCCCGCCCUUAUCACAACGCUCCCAGACCGUUACAUACAAGUGGUUCCAGGGUAGGAAGACCAGACCAGCUAGCGACUAUACCAGCCUGAGAUGACAUUCAGGAUAGCCGAGCAGUUCAACUGAUAGACCAGAGCUUGGCAUAUAGACAGUACACUCCAUUGAAGAUCUCCAUGGAGGAAUUGUAUGAGAGGAUCGAAGGACGAGGCCUGCUGUACCCUCCAGCCCCUAUAACAAAACCGGCUCACCGACGGGAUAAUAACAGAUUCUGCAAGUUCCACGACACUCAUGGUCACACAAUCGACCAAUGUCGUGACCUGAAGAUUCAGGUGGAGGACUUAGUACGGAACCGGUACUUGGAUGAGUAUGUAGAGGGGGUGUCCCUGAUCAUCGAAUCACAGUAUACACGGGAUGAAGAAGUUCAGAGGGGUCUGGGAGGUGAACAGCCGACCAUCCAUGUGAUAGCUGGGGGGCCAACAUUGGCCGGGGAUUCGAACAGGGCACGGAAGAACUAUGAGAGAUAUGCCCUGACUAGCAAAGAAGUGCUUUUCAAUUUGCCGGCAACCAAGAAGGCAAAAGUGCGGCAAGUUCCCAUUAUGUGGACAGAUGACGAUGAAGAGGGUAUCUUAUAUCCGCAUAAAGAUGCACUGGUGAUCAAGGCAAUGGUGGCUGGUGCAGAAUUGUGACGAGUACUAGUAGACACAGGCAGCUCGGUUGACAUCCUGUUUAAGUCGGCUCUAGAUGAUAUGGGGAUUGCAGACUUGAAAUUAGAGCGGACAAAUACAUCCUUAAAGGGAUUUGGAGUGGGACGGUUAACUCCCAUGGGGAUCAUCGAACUCCCAAUUACUAUGGGGACGAAGCCAUUUGAAAGAACAAUGAUGUUGGAUUUUGUCGUGGUAGAAGAAAGAAGCCCUUACCAGAUGAUACUGGGGAGACCAUUCAUGAGGAUAAGUCAAUGCGUUGUAUCCACGCAUUACUUGGCACUGAAAUACAGAGUAAAUAGGGUGGUUGGCGUUGUAAAAGGCGACCAGAGGAUGACAAUGAGUUGUUAUGCUACAGCGGCCAAGGAGACACUGCAGGUUACUUCUCUAGAUAAUCGAGGAGAGUCCAAAAAGGGCCGCCAAGAGCCUGUUGAGAAACUGAAAGAAGUUGCGGUAAGCAAAAGCAACCCGAGCAGAAUAGUGAAGAUCGGGUCAGGAUUGGUUGGGGCAGUAAAAAGCGAGCUGAUAAAUUGCCUACAGUCUCAUGCGGAUAUAUUCGCCUGGUCUCAUGAAGAUAUGCCCGGAAUUGAUCGCGGGGUAGCUUGCCACAAGUUGGCAAUCAAGAAGGGGGCAAGGCCGGUGAGACAGAAGAUGAGAUGCUUCAACUAGGAAAGGUACGAGGCCAUAAAUGCCGAGGUGGAAAAGCUGUUGAAAGUAGGGGUGGGCAAAAAAAGCUGAUUAAUUAAAAAUCGAACCGAACCGAUCGGUUCGGUUCAGUUUUUUUGCGGUUUUUUUAUAACCAAAAAACCGAAAUAGUAAUAUUAAAAAAAUAGUAAAACCAAUCGGUUCGGUUUUCGGUUUUAAAAGAAAAACCGCAAAACCGAACUGAAAUCUCAAAUAAACCGAUUGUUUUGAAAGCUAAAGCUAAAACCCAAAAGCCUAAAAUCUAAAUCUAAACUUUUGACUUCUGUCUUCUUCGGUUCCCGACUUCCCGCUGGCCGCUGCUCGUCGUGACUUCUUCUGUUCCCGCUGGCCGUGCGGCAUCCUUCGCUGUAAUUUUUGUGAUCGUGCGGCAUCCCUCGCUGUAAUUUUUGCUUCUGCUAACCUUGUUACUGUCUCAACUGCACUCUUUUCAACAGAGUUGAAAUCAUUCUGCUUUUUGGCCUCCGUUGUCUGCACCCAGACCUUUACAAAUUGACCUUGUUGAUUGAUUGCUUUUGCUUGGGAAAUCACAGAGAAGAUGCAACACAUCAGGUGGGAUGCACUUUCCUUCUUGGGCAUAUUAAAAAAUUAAUUUUAACUUUUUUCUUUAAACCAAAAAAGAAAAAGAAAAAUUAUUAUCCAUAUGUCAUCAUCAUCAAUUGGAAUUGGUCAUAAUUUGGGACCACCAUGUUUGUGCUGCCAUGUCAAAUUUUUCUGCAGUUCUCUUUUUCAUUUUUUUAUAAUAUAUAAUCUCGAUUUUUGUAGAUAGUUUAUGUAAUAAUUAAUAUAUAUAUUCUUGGUUGGCCAAAAUGAAUACAAAUGCAAUUAAUGAAUGAAGAAGUUAUUCAUAAAGCAUCAUUUAUUUAUUUGUUCAUUGCGGUUAAGUUGUAUGCGAUCUAUUUGGUUGUUGGUUACAACCAGUUAAAUAUUUAUUUAAAAAUAAAAUAUAACCUGUUAAUUAAGAUGAAUGUUGUAAUAUGAAGUCUCUUAAUUUUGUAAAAUGUGCGUGGUUAUUCAAUAAUUUUGUAAAAUGGUAGAUUUAUUAAUUUAAAGUUUUAAAUUUAAAAAAGCCCAAAAUAGGCCCAAUAGGCCCAUAAUCGAAAUAAUCGAACCGAAUCGAAUCGAAUUAUUUCAAUUAAUCGAGUAUUUGAUUAUUUCGGUAAUUUGAUUAAUCGCGAUUAUGAUUUUAAAAUAAUCGUAAUCGAACGAUUAUGAAAAAUUUAGUAAAAAACCGAACCGAACCGAACCGCGCCCACCUCUAGUUGAAAGCAGGAUUUAUAAGGGAAGCCAAGUACCCAGAAUGGAUUUCAAAUGUAGUCCUGGUAAAAAAGGCCAACGGGAAGUGGAGAAUGUGUGUGAACUUCACGGACCUCAAUAAGGCAUGCUCAAAGGACAACUUUCCCCUACCCAAAAUAGAUCAGCUGGUGGACUCAACAGCAUGUCACAGUCUGCUCAGUUUCAUGGAUGCCUUUUCUGGAUACAACCAGAUACCCAUGGACGAGCAUGAUGAGGAAAGCACUGCCUUUAUAACUAACAUGGGUUUGUUUUGCUACAUGGUAAUGCCUUUUGGCCUAAAAAAUGCAGGAGCCACCUAUCAAAUGUUGGUAACCAAUAUCUUCAAACCGCUGAUUGGACACACUAUGGAGGUAUAUGUGGAUGAUAUGAUUACAAAGUCCAAAGAGCCGAGGGAUCAUGUGAAGCAUCUAGAAGAGACCUUUGAAUUACUGAGGAAGUAUGAGAUGAAACUAAACCCGGAGAAAUGUGCAUUUGGGGUUAGCUCGGGCAAAUUUCUGGGAUUCCUGGUAAGCCACCGAGGGAUUGAGGCCAACCCCGAAAAAAUACGAGCGGUUACAGAUAUGAGAUCUCCACGGACAGUUAAAGAGGUGCAGAGCCUUACAGGGAAGUUGGCAGCAUUGAACCGAUUCAUCUCGCGGGCCACAGAUAAAUGCCACACUUUCUUCCAAAUCAUAAAGAAAAGGAGAAAGAUGGAAUGGACAUCAGAGUGCGAGGAAGCAUUUGGGCAGCUGAAGGAAUAUCUGGCCCGUGCACCGUUACUAUCAACUCCGAGAGAGGGUGACCAGCUGCUUUUGUACUUGGCAAUCUCCAAGCGGGCUACCAGCUCGGUCUUAGUCAGGGAAGAAGAAGGGAAGCAACACCUGGUAUACUACACGAGCAAGGCCCUGGUGAACGCAGAAAUCAGAUAUCCACUAAUGGAGAAGUGGGCGCUGGCUCUGAUAACGGCAGCACGCAAACUCCGACCAUAUUUCCAAGCCCACCAGAUCGUUGUGAUGACUGACCAGCCCCUUCGGCAAGUGCUUCAAAAAUCAGAUGCGUCUGGUCGGUUAGUAAAAUGGUCUGUGGAGCUGAGCGAAUUUGACCUGUCCUACAGGCCCCAAGGAGCAAUCAAGGCCCAAGCCCUAGUAGAAUUUAUGGUAGACCGAGCUGAACCAGUGGAAGGAGAUCGGGAGGAGUAACAGUUAGAGCAUGAGAAAACAAAGGGGAUGUGGUUGGUAAUGGUUGACGGAUCAUGUAGUGAGCAAGGAUCCAGAGCAGGGGUUGUAAUACGGAGCCCAGAAGGAUCCGAAAUAACGUAUGCAGUGAAGUUCGAAUUUCAGCUCACAAACAACCAAGCUGAAUAUGAAGCCUUUAUCACCGGGCUCGGACUCGCACACGCCUUAAAAGCAGAGAUGGUAGAAAUCCGAACAGAUUCCCAAUUGGUAUGUAAUCAGCUCAAUGAUCAGUUCCAAGCAAGGGGAGAGAAGAUGGGCCUUUAUUUGAAGAAGGCGAAGUAGAUGGUCGGACUUUUUCAAGAGGUGGAGGUAAAGUAGAUAUCCCGGAAUGAGAAUUACCGAGCGGAUAUGCUGGCUAGGAUGGCUGCAAUUGCAGACCCGAAAUUACCUAAGUCGGUCCCACUAGAGGUAAGGAACUCGCCGAGCAUAGGGGAGGAAGUGGAGGUGAUGAGAGUAAGCACUGAAGAAUCCUGAAUGGACCCGAUUCGCGCGUAUGUCCGCGACGGAGUUUUGCCUGAGGACAAAAGGCAAGCGAGAAAGUUAAAAUACCGAGCAACGAGGUACACGUUAUUAGAUGAAGUGCUGUAUCGCCGAGGGUUCACCUUGCCCCUUUUGCGAUGUGUGGAUGAUGAGGAGGCAGAUUAUAUACUAAGGGAGAUUCAUGAAGGAAUUUGCGGCAAUCACUCGGGAGCAAGAACUUUAGCCUUUAAGGUACUCCGUCAAGGGUACUUCUGGCCAACCAUGCACCAGGAUGCAAAAAAGAUGGCAAAAAACUGUAAAAUGUGCCAAAGCUUCUCUGAGGUCCCCACACAACCCCCAGAAAAGCUAACCAUUAUGACAUCCCCAUGGCCUUUUGCACAAUGGGGAAUCGACCUGAUUGGUCCGUUACCGAAAGGGCGAGGAGCGGCAACCCAUGCAAUUGUAGCAGUAGACUACUUCACCAAGUGGAUAGAGAUGGGGGUCCUUAGCCAAAUCACAGAGAGAAAGACAACGGAUUUUAUCUGGAAGAAUAUCAUCUGCAGAUACAGAAUUCCUUAUACCAUCAUUACCGAUAAUGGGAAGCAGUUUGACAACAACAACUUCAGAGAGUUUUGCCGAAACCUAGGGGUGGAUUUGAAGUUCUGCACCCCCGCACACCCCUAGGCAAACGGACAAGUGGAAGCAGCCAAUAAAAUGGUAAAGAAACUCCUGAAGACUAGACUGGGAGAGAAGAAAGGAGCUUGGGUUGACGAGCUACCAGGGGUAUUGUGGGCUUACCGGACGACUCACAAAACCGCUACAGGGGAAACCCCGUUUGCCUUAGCUUUUGGUCAUGAGGCGGUAGUCCCAGCAGAAAUUGGAGUAGGAACACAUCGGACGAAAUACUUCAAUGAGGAGCAAAAUGGCGAGCAGAUCUGCUUGAGCUUGGACCUGCUGGAGGAGAAAAGGGAAGGGGCUUCGCAGAAAAUGGCCUAGUGUCAGCAAAGGGUCACGCGUUAUUACAACAAGAACGUACGCGUGAGGCAGUUCCGAACAGAAGAUUGGGUGCUCAGGAAGGUGAGCCAAAACACCAGGGAUCCCAACCAUGGAGCUCUUGGUCCGAAAUGGGAAGGCCCGUACAGGGUGAUACGAGCAACUGGACCAGGAGCCUACAAGCUGGCGUAUCCAGACGGACGAAAGGUGAAGAGGUCGUGGAACGUGGAGCACUUGAAAAAGUACUUCCAGUAAGCAAAGUGCUCUACUAGUUUUCAUUUUGAUAAGUUAUUUCUGUUAUGAGCAAUGUGAUUUGUGACACACACAUAUAUCCCAUACUUCUGUAACGCAUUCGAAAUUCAAUAAAGAUGAAUUCAGUAUGGAACCCUUCUGCUAGUAAGCCCAUUAAAUGCUUACUAAUGCAAGAAAGUGCAUGUUUCUGCUCGGUCAACGAAAGACCAACAGCUAAAGCUUCGAAAAAUCUAUUAAGGCAACAAAGUGCCUGUUUCUGCUCGGUCAACGAAAGACCAGCAGCUAAGCUUUGAAAAAUCUACUAAGGCAACAAAGUGCCUGUUUCUGCUCGGUCAACGAAAGACCAGCAGCUAAAGCUUCGAAAAGUCUACUAAGGCAACAAAGUGCCUGUUUCUGCUCGGUCAACGAAAGACCAGCAGCUAAAGCUUCGAAAAAUCUACUAAGGCAACAAAGUGCCUACUUCUGCUCGGUCAACGAAAAACCAGCAGCUAAAUUUACGAACUUUUACUAAGGCAAGUAAGUGUCUGCUCCUGCUCGGUCACCGAAGACCAGCAAGCGAUUUUGCGAAAAUUUUACUAAGGCAAACGGAUGCCUAUUCCUGUUCGAUGCACUAAAGAACCAACAGGCAAAACCAGAAAAGAAAGCCAAUAGAGAGCAUUCAAAUAAUUUUUUAUAAGCGUUCAAAUGUUUACAAAGCAAGUGAAAAACUAGAGUCUUUACAAAAAUAGACCUAAGGAUUAGGAGGAUCAACGACCUCAGCAGGUGAAGGGUCAGCUAUUUCGGGAGGUGGAAGGUCAGCAAUAUCGGAGGGAGGAGGCACGGACCCCUGUCCCACUUCAAAAACACGCUGCCCAGCUUCUCCCUCAUACACCCCAUCCAAAGGAGCCUCUACCUGGUCCUGCUCACCCUGCUCCUUAUCUGCUUGGUCGACAUCUGCCAUAUACCGCUGCACUCCGGCCUCCAGCUUGCUCAUGUCCAGCUCGGGAUAUUCUGUCUUAAGCACAGACAUGAUGCACUUGUAGGAGAAGGCAACCCCAGAAUCAUACUCGGCAUCCAGCCGAUCAUCCACAUCAGCAGAUUUGCCUUUCUCCUCAGCCAGCUGCUCACCCAAGGAUUUUAUUUCCCCCUCAACGGCGGUCCUCAAAGUAUCCCUUUCAGUUUGAGUAGCCUGAAGAUCAGAUCUCAGGUCACCCAACUCGCCCUCAAGUUUGGAGGAAGUGGAUUCAGCAACCGCAACUUUCUCCUCUAGCUCCGUGAUCUGCUUAUUCAGCUCAGCCAGCUUCUCCUUGGAGCGAUCAGCAGAGUCAGCUUUCUUCUUCAAUUCCUGGUUGUCAGCCUGGAGCUUCCUCUCAUGGCGCGCGGACCCAAUCUUGUAGCACGAAACUAUGGUUGCCAGCCUGAAGGACACUCUCUGAACAGAAGCAGCUAGCUCGGAGAGGUUCAUACUCUCGAUGUCCUUCACCAUCUUGGGCCCCACCGAUCUCUUGUAAUCCUUUUGAUACGAGCUCAGGUAGUCCGCUUGAUCCCGAGAUGGUAGAGGAGAAGAUCGGUCCCCAGAUGGGUAGCUGACCUCAGGACUUUUGUCAGAAGUUUUCUCCCCGCCACUCUUACGGGGUGGAGGAGGGGGCAGAGCAGGGACAGGAGCCUUGGAAGGGCCGACACUGGUUUUCUUUGGAGGAGGAGGGGGGUUGCUGGAGCUGCUUGGAGCCCGACCACGCUUCCUGCUCAUCGCGCUGAGGAUCGUGUUAUCCAUUCCAGCGGCUAGGUCUUCUAGGCCCGAACCGACCAGGCUUGUUGGUGACAGGAGGUCCUGGCAGGUAGACGCGUUCAACAGAGCAGUUUCCACCUGAAGCAAAGGUCGAUCUUCAAGCCCCCCGAUUAAACCCCACGACUCUGAAAUAGCAAAAGAGGUUAAAGAACUCGAUAAGUGACAAUUUGAGUAAGAGCAUAGGCAAAAAUGAACGACCUGGGGUGACAAAAUGUGUGGGAAGAUAAAUGUCCCCACCAAGCGAUCGAACCGCUGGACACCAGUUCCCCCCGGCAAAGAAGAAUUUGUUCUUCUAAUUUUUACAUGAAGAGGGAAACCCAGUGAUCGGUUUCCUCUUUGCAGAACUGGACAUAAAGUAGUACCAGCCCGCUUCCCUCGGGCUACUCCGUAGCUGGUACAGAUGUUUCACUUCAACAAGGGAAGGCUCCUCCGACCCGCACCUCUCCCAUAACACAAACAUUGCCGAGAGAACCCUCCAGCCAUUUGGGUGUAGUUGACUUGGGGCCAGGUGCAUACCGCCCAGUAUCUUGGCAAAAUAACGUUGAAGGGGCAGCCGAACUCUUAGUCUGAAACUCUCCAAAUGCAUCGUCACAUGCCCUUUCGGAGGCCGACUAGGGAUAUCACCUUUUCCAGGAACUACAAGAAGAACAUCGUUGGGGAUGUUGUAGAGGUUCCUAAGCUUAAAUAGAUCAGUGGGGGUGGUGGCACAAGCUAUGAAAUCAAUAGGGUAGGAAUCAGCCUCCACCCUAUGGCCAAGAUGCCUUUUCUUAGCAGGUCCGCUCGGUCCGGAACUGCUCCCCUCACCAUCACCAGCUCCCUCAGGGAUCCCAACCCCACUAAAGCUGUGGUUCUCACCAGAGCCCGACGCAGGUCCACCUCUAUUCCCUACAAGCUCUAGUUCGGGGGAAGGAGAGACAACCAAGGGUCGUGGGUACUCGAGGGUACCCCUGCCAUGGGAAGGACCUACGCUACUGGAGGGGCCUAAGAAAUUUGUGGGUAUUGACACGUUGAGGCCUGAAUCCCCUGAUUCUUCAUCACUUUCAUCAACAAUUAACUUUCUUUUCCGGUUUGACAUAUCGGAAUCCCAAAAGAAAACAAGGAAAACUCGAAUAUACGGAUACAAAAUGGGGCAACACGAAACCCAAUCAACAACAACCAGAGAAGGGAUUAAAAGCAGUACCUGAAAUGAAUUGGCCCUGAUAGCGCUGCCGUGACAGAGAAAAAACCAGCAAGUAGAGACUCCGGACGCAGGGAAUGUGAGUAAAGUUCAGAAAGGGGGGAGGUUAACGACGGAGAGACGAAUAACACGGAGAGACGAAUAACAAAACAAUGACAAUGUAAGUCUAGGGAUUUGAAACGAAAAAGGGGAAAUGAAAGCAUUUAAGUGAUGGGGAUGCCAGCUCACUCACCAAAUAUCGAGGACAGAUAGCCCGUCGUUUCAAAUUUCAAAUAUAAAGAAUCUGGAGGUGCCACAUCACCAACCGUUACAAGGGGCCAAGAUAGACGUAAGCCCAGAUAUGCAAUAAACAUGCUCAUUUAGGCCCAUACUCAGGUCGGAAUCUCCCCAAAAGAAAAAUGGUACCUCAGGUCCGCCCCAGCAAACAAAAGACCAGAUUAGAAGCUCCCCGGGUUGGUGAGAUUUGACCAUUAGUUUCUACUCUUCACUCAUUUCACUCGCCAGACCAGAAACUGGGGGACUGGUGUUGAGUACAUAAAAGCACCAGGUCGGCCAUGCUAUUAUUUCCGCCCCGGCACGGAUCGCUUCAGCCAAAGUGAUAUGAGCAGAACACGUGGGCUAACAUGAGCCGACCAGAGAUGAAUACAACCAGGGAAAAAUACCGACCAGAGGUAUAUACCGAGCGGACACUCAUCCCUAGAGAAGCGGGAACACGAUCCCACAGAAUUGCAGUAGUUGCGCUUUUCCCAGAACCGUUGAAGGACACGCGAGAUCCACGUUUGCCCACAAUGUAACAGUUAGAGUCCCAUGAGAGGCUGCCACUACCCGAAAAAGGUGGGAUGAAUGGCAAACGGAAACGUGGGGACAGCGGCUAUAAAAGAAGAAGAAAUCGAUGAAGAAAAUGGGGAAAAACUUAGAGAGGGAAAACGCUGCCAAAUUGCAACCAGGCCAUUUCCUUACAAAUUUCUAACAAACUUCUUGAAUCCAAAUUACAUUGUUUUCCCGUAAAUACCUUGUGCUAACUUAGGCAUCGGAGGGUUUACGCCGGCAAAACCACCGGCGUCUUUGACCCAUUUUUUUGAACGCAGGUCUAGUGAGAGAAAGGAGGGUGAUACCAGCCUUAGUGGUUCGAACAAACAGUCGAUAAUACAAACGUUGGUGAAAGAAUCUGGUCGGUCCAAGGGCGAGCAGAUUUCAGCAUCAACAAUAUGUUUCCCAUGUGCCCAAGAAUUUCAGUUAUGGCAGCUCCAAGUCAAGGGAUGACGAAAAGCUUAGAGAUAUGUUAAGACAGGCGACGUGUAAGCGGAUUAUUGGCCGGGAGGUGGGGCUGAAUCUACAGCGCCAAACGGAGGUGAUUGAGGCUACUACUAUGCGAAAGAGUUACAGUGUUGGCGUUGGAAAGAUAGGGAGAAUUGAUGAAGAUAAGGCUUGUUCCUUUGAGGAGAAUUUGUUGUACCCAAGGAGCAAAAGCCAUGCCAUUGGAAAUGUUUGCAUCGUUAAUUAGUUAGUGAAAUACUACUACAUUUAAUAUGCUAGUUACAGUUGAGAUUAAGGGUAAAAUUGCUUCAUUGUUUGUGUAUUAAUACAUUAUAUAUAAAAUGGUCACUCAUUUGGUGAUGUUCGUUAUGAAUCUUUGAACUUUUCAAAGUGAAACAAGUUCCGAAAUUUAGGCCAAUUCCCUUAAUUGGUUAUUGCAAUUUUUACAAUCAAUCAAAAUUAUUAAAUUUAUGCUGAUUGGACCAUUUCUGUUUCAUUUUCAAUCACUUGUUUAAAUUAAAUCUUUCGAUCGUGGUGGCCAUCAAGGGUAUAAAACGUAAUAUGUUGCAGAAUCCAAAUGUUUUCAACCCAUAGAAACACUUGUGGAAGUUUAUCAGACAUUACUAUUAUUAACAUUUAAAUCACUUAUUAGUUAAAACUAUUAACAAUUACGAUCGAUGUUGAUAUAUUGUAUAAUAACUAAUAGUAAUCCCUCGAAUUAGUUUAGUCUUCCUUGUUACCCUGCCUCUCAAACAUUGCAUACUUGUUCAGUUAUCUUAAUGUACGUGGUAGAUUUGGAGGCAUGCAUGGAUCGCUUUUGGAUGGCUCAAUUCAAAAGAAUCUUGAAGUUAAUUUUAUUUUUCAAAAUUGUCACAUACAUACAAUUUGAAACUUAUUAAAAGCCUAAAUACAUAUAAUUUAUGGUACAAUUUAGAGGUUUGUCAAAGUAUUAAUUCAGUAAUCUAUACUCCCACAAAAAUAUAGUUGGAGAUAUAUUUUGAUAAAAUCAAUAGAAAUUGGAAUCCAAACUCUUAUGGUGUGUUUACUUGAGGGUUUAGGGAAUGAGAAUGAAACCUAUGUUUAAUUGACAAAAUGUAAUUUGGGAAUGAGAAUAAAAUAUGUGGGUCCCACACAAUUUGGGAAUAAUGAAUGAGAAUUUCAUUCCUAUGGGGGGUUGUGAAUAAAAAUGAGGGAAUGAGAAUGAAAUUCAUUUUUACUUUUGUAUCCCUCUAAUUUUUUCAUAUUUUCCGAAUUAUCCUCGUUCAAAUCACAAUUAAUUUUAUUAUUUUAAAUGUCAUUAUUAUUAUUUUUAUUAAAUUUUAUUAACUUUAUUAUUUUAGUUAUUAUUAAUUAUUGUUAUUAAAUUUUAUUAACUUUAUUAAUAUUAUCAUUAUUAACAUUUCUUAUGAUUUUUAUUAAUAUUAGCAUUAUUAACAUUUAUUAUUUUAAUUAAUAUUAUCAUUAUUAACAUUUAUUAUUUUAAUUAAUAUAUUUUUUAUAAUAAUAUUUAUACAUGUAUCUAGUUAAUGAAAAUUAUAUUAUUUAAUACUAUAGAUAUUUUGAUAAAUUAAUUCUCAUUUACAUUCCUCAUUCUCAUUUGUUUUGUAGAUAAAUAUAUCAAUGACAUUUCAGCAUAUUUUCAUUCUCAUUUAUUUUUACCAAAUAAAUAUUGAAAUCUCAUUCUCAUUUUAAUACAUUUUUAUUCUCAACUCAUUUUAUGAAUUAAACGCACCAUUAAUAUUGAAGGACGUGUGUUACCGCCGGUCCAAAAGGCCAAAUGGCCAAUGAUAGUUUGGGGGUAUUUUGUGGUAAAUAAAAACUAAUAGAGGUCAAAAUAAAAAUUCGUUAUCAUUGAGUCUUGAUGUGUGGUAAAAAAAAAGAAGUACAGCUUUGGGGCAGGGGGUUGGUAGCGUGUGUGAUCCAAAUCUUAGCAGGCACACUGGCACAACUUUUCCAUAUUUUAAAGGUCCGCCUAGUCUAAUUUCAUAUAGUCCCCCUAUAUUCUAUAUUAUUUAUAUUUUAUUUAUAAAUAUUAUAAAUUUUUUGAAAUAUAAAAUUUCGUUUAAACCCCUUAUACUCAAUUUUAUUUUAUUAAAAUCAUAGAGUAUGAAUUCGCCCCCAUAAUUUUAAAUUCUCAAAAUAACCUCCAUUUAAUUAAAAAUAUAAUUAUUGUUAAAUGAAUUAUAAUUAUAAUUAUAAUUUUAUUAUAAUCAUAAAUAUUUUUUAAUAGAUUAUUGUUAUUAUUAAUAACGAUAAUAAAAAAUAUUAUAAUUAAUUAAUCUAUUAACAAUAAUUAAUAAUAUUUUUAUUAAAUUGUUAGUAAUAAUAAUAAUAAUUAAUGAUAAUCAACAUAUUUAUGAUUAUAAUAAAAUGGAAUAAACACUGAGUCUAUAUUUCUAUAAGAGACUCUUUUAUAUUUCUAUACAUUUUAAUUUCAAGUACUUUUAGGAUUUUUUUGUUACCUUCAUAAAUAAUGAUUUUGUAGGCAUCUCAUUAUUAAACGGUCAUUUUUAAGUGCUUUUUGCUAAGUUGUUACACAUUCGAGGAUGUAAACACAUUUUUCUUGCUUCUAUUUUUUAAAUAUAAAAUUAUUUUUAUUGGGUCAAGCUUAAAAUUCUGACAGAAAUUAUCAUUUAUUGGUCUCUUGAAACCCGAUAAUGAGUAUUUAAAGUCGAAGGUAGCAUUAGCAAUAUAUUUACUAUUAGUUAGAUAAUCAUUAAUUAUUAUUAUUAUUAUUAACAAUUUAUAAUGCUUAACAAAAUUUUAUUUUAAUAACAAUAAUCUAUUAAAAAAAUAUUUAUGAUUAUAAUAAAAUUAUAAUUAUAAUUAUAAUUCAUUUAAUAAUAAUUAUAUUUUUAAUUAAAUGGAGGUUAUUUUGAGAAUUUAAAAUUAUGGGGGCGAAUUCAUACUCUAUGGUUUUAAUAAAAUAAAAUUGAGUAUAAGGGAGUUAAACAAAAUUUUAUAUUUAAAAAAUUUAUAAUAUUUAUAAAUAAAAUAUAAAUAUUAUAGAGUAUAAAUAAAAAUAAAAAGUGCUAAAUAUAGGCUGUAUACAGCCAUAAACGAAGAAAGUUUGGAUUUGUAAUUAUAUUUCAUAAGAAAAUUAUCGCCGUACCUUCCUGGUUCCUUUAUCUAUCGUCAAGACAUUGUGUUAUGGAUCGCAAUUCCAUUAACACUGUUCUCCUCUCAAUUAUUCAGCGUAGCUAAACCUGAAAGUGGAUCUUCAAAUCAUUGAGCAUGGCAGCAUUGCAAUUAUUUUUUCUCUUUGUGGCCCUUAAUGUGGUCCUUGGUUCAUCACGGCAAAUCAUCACGACCCUGCCGGGCUUUGAUGGUGAUCUUCCCUUCAAACUCGAAACUGGGUAUGUUCUAUUUUGUUUUAUUUUUCCUUUCUUGACAUACUUAUUAGCUGAAUUAAUUUCCCCAGAAAGAAAAAAAAACAAUUUAUUAAUUACUUUUAGGUAUAUUGGGGUGGGAGAGAAUGAUAAUGCGCAGCUGUUUUACUACUUCAUUGAAUCCGAGCGGAGUCCUGAAGAUGACCCUCUUCUGCUUUGGCUCUCCGGAGGCCCUGGUUGCUCUGGAUUUUCGGCCCUUGCGUAUCAACUUGGUAUAUUUUUUUAUUCCUGAAAUGAAAUAUAUAUAUAUAUAUAUAUAUAUGCUUUUAUUUUUUUGGUUUCCAAUCUCCUUUUUUUCGUAGAGAGUGGGGUCCAAAUCUUACGUUAUAUGCAACACCUCACGAGAUUUAAGAGUAAAACCAAAUAGCACCCACAUCAUAUAUAUUUGAUCAUAUAUAUAUUUGUUGAAGUAUGCAUCGACGACUCUUUCUCUAGACAACUUAGGCGAUUGUUUAGAGCCCUACUAUAGAUGAAGGUUCCUAAAUUUAUUCUUAAAUUAUAAUUAUUAAUUAUUGAUUUAUGUUUAUUAUUAUUUUAUAAUUAUAUUUUCCAUAAACAAACUAGUAAAUCCUUACAAAAUCCCCUUUUAACAUUAUAAUUAACAAUUUUAAUCUCAUUUAUUUCCUCCAUAUAUUUAAUCUAAAACUCUAUAAAGGCCACAUAUUUUUUAAAAUUAUUGUCCAUUAAUAUCUUUUUCCAAUAAAAAAAAAAUGUAUGAAACCUUCAUUGCUUUGGUGAAAAAACUACUUUCUCUAUCCUACUUUUCACUUAAGAAAAAAAAAUUCAAUUGUUUUACUAUUUAUUGAUCACUGCUGCUCAAAGGCUCUAUACAUCAAAGUUAAAGUUCUCAAAUUUUUCAGGUUCUAUUUUUCCAUUCUCUUAUUAAUUAAUUAUGUUAUUCAGUUGCUUUUGUUUCUUUUAAAAAAUAUUAUUGUGUUCAUAGAUUGUUUUCUUGCAAUUAUCUAGCAUAAUUUUUUACUUAAUUACUCUUGCUUCAAUAGGAAAAAAAUGUCUACUACAAAAAUAUGCAUUAGGAUACAAAAAACUUCAAAAAUAAGAGAAGAAUAGAAAAGUUAGUUUAAUCUAAAAAAGGAGCCAUUAGUAAAAACUUAUUUAAGAUCAACUAUAUCAUAGGAAUAUUAAAUAGGUUAACUAUAUUGUCUAUUGAGAAAGAUAUAUUAAGAAAAUUAGAAUAUAAAAAAUUGAUUAAUAAUUAUGCAUCUCAAAAGCUAGAGAAACUGAUUUUAAAUAAAUAAACUUUUAAUCAAAUUAAUACCUACAUUUUACCUUAAAGUUUUUAAAAUGCCUAAUUAAAACAAUUUGCCUAAGGCCUAAAAUAUGAUUGAGCCGCCCCUAGAAGUAUGAAUCAGAAUUAGAAUUCGAGAACAAACAACAACAUCUGAUCAGUCAGUGAGCGUUGGCCAACUGGCCGAUUUGGGGUUGGAUGACACGUCGGUUUAAAGCUUUGAUCACACGUUUGAAAUCUACUCAUGUCAUAUGAGUGCAGUUAGUAAAAGAUGUGCAUUGCAUGUGAUUCGCUUGAACAUUAUAGGCUUUAAAUGACAGUCUUGGAUGUCAUUUAGCUCACUUAUGGAUUCCACAUGUCCUGGACAUGGGAGAGGCAGUCAAAGGCAGUCAAAAGAAGCUAAAAAAUUCUUGCUUUGUUGAAACAAACCCAGAAUGCAAGUUGGCUUCUUAACCAACUUCCUUGAUGCUUCUAUAGUGAUAUAUAAAGCUAUUUAGGUUGUGCUUUGGUUCUUAGAUUCAUUGAAACUUUCCCUAUAAACUUGUAAUUUGAUUUGCAACAGCGAAAGAAACCAUAGCUUUGUUUCUCAAGAGGAUGUAGGCCACCGGCCAAACCUCUAUGGAUCUUGUUUGUCUUGUUUCCUUUAUCUUCUUCUGUGUUAUUUGAGUUUAAAUACAAUUGAUAAGCAUUCUUGAUGUAAUAUUCAAUGUGUGGUGUAUCAUCUUGGGCUCAAGAUUGGAUUAACUUCUUAUCUUUAUUCCAACAAUAAUAAACUUAAGUCUUGAUUGGUAUUAAGGCAUAAUUGUAAAAUAAAAGUUGACAGCAUACGUUAUAAUUGUAAUUUUUAAAUUAAUCUAUCUUCCAAACCACAGCAAUAAAUGUUUACCAAACAUUUUUUUUUUUACUAUUAUAGAUGGGGAUAUGAACUCUCCAGAACUCCUUUUUAUAGCUAGAAGCCUAGAUUAGAGAAUAAUAUUUUUAAAAAAAUUAAAGUGAUAAUUCAUAUAAGGCCACAACUAUUAUAAUAAGGUAGAAUAAAUUUAUAUUUGAGGGGAGUUUAUGCUAAGUUUAGCUUAGGGUGUGUUUUUAUGAUGUUUGGGGUAUCUAGUAUCGCUGAGAUACACCAACUAGGUGGUGAGCUAUAAUGAUCUACAUAGUGAUCUAAGGUAGUCAUAUGGAAAACAAUAAGGAGCUUAAUAGUGCAUGUAAGAAUUAAUCUGGGGAGUUGAUACUUGAUAUUGAGAGCUGAUGUGUGCUGAGGAGAGCAGCUCAGGUGAGCUUCAAAGAUAGCUUAGGUGAUCUCUCAAAAUACUUAGUGUAAUUAGAGUAGAUCCAAUAAGUUCAUAUGUGAAACAAAAUCUCGAUCUCAUAUUGAAAAUAUAGUAAAAAAGAAUAUAAAUAUAAAAAAAUAUACAAUGCUUAUAUCAAGUAUGUAAAAUCACAAGAUCAAGCAGCUGAUAUCUUCACUAAGCCACUCAAGCAAGAAGACUUUGUAAGAUUCAGAAGUUUGCUUGGUGUCACAGGAUCAAGUUUAAGGGGAGGUGUUGGAUCAUAAACUUGAUCCAAGAUGAAUAAAUCAAGCCCAACUCAUGGAAGAUUCCAUGAGUAGGUAUGGUUGGUGAGGUUUGAAUUAUUUGUGUUAGGUGUGUUAGUUGUGGUUGGUGAAGUAGGUGAGUGGUAGAUUUUAAUGGAUGGUGAGGAUUUGUUUAUUAGUUGAAUAAAUGAAUGGUUGUAAUUAGUUUGUUUCAUGUAUAAAUACCCCCUCUCCCAUUUGGUUUAAACAUCAAGUGAAGUAGCAAAAUCUCUAAGGUGUAGAGUGAAAAAAUAAGAGUUGUAAUUGGUGAGGAGUGUUGUUGAAGAAAUAAAAUAGUGUUUUUGUGUGUUUUAUUUAUUAAUUCUCCAACAAAGUGGUAUCAGAGCUAGUGCUUGAUGCUAUAUAUAGUCACAUAGCAUAUCAAAUCGAAGAUCUCGAUGAGAGGAACGUGACGCCGCAAAAAUCAUCCCGAUCCGAGAUGGGACGCGCCCACACUUGCCGCCGGAAGUUUUCUGUCCUGAAGUUGAGCCGAACUGAACCAAGCCGAGCCGAGCUGAACCGAAUCAAGUCGAACCGAGCCAACUCGAGCUGAACCAAUCCGGACCGAACCAAGACUACCAAGCUGGUGUUGACCGUUGACCGACGUUGACCGUUGACUAGCGUUGACCAUUGACCGUUGACCGAAAGUUGACUCGAAUCCUUCCCAAGGUUUUUCGACGUGCCGGAUCCAUCUGUGCUUUCAGAAUCUCCAAAUUCUCACUCAAUUUGUGAGUUAUGGCAAACAGUGGUAUGAUGUCAUUUCAAGUUCCACAAUUAAAGGGAAGUAAGUUUGACAAUUGGAGUAUUAAAAUGAAGGCUCUAUUGGGCGCACAUGAUGUAUGGGAUGUUGUGGAGAAAGGCUUUAUUGUGCCGGAAAAUGAAGCCACUUUAACUGCGGCGCAGAAAGAGAAUUUAAAAGACUUGAAAAAGAAAGAGAAUAAAGCAAAGUAUCUCAUCUUUCAAUCAUUAGAUUAAGAUACUUUUGAAAAGAUUGCUGAUACAACCUCCUCAAAAGAAGCAUGGGAGAAACUAGAGACUUCUUACAAAGGAGCGGAGCAAGUUAAGAAGGUUCGUCUCCAAACAUUACGAGGAGAAUUUGAGUCCUUACACAUGAAGGCGUCGGAGUCAAUUUCUGACUACUUUACUCGGGUUGUGACCGUUUCCAAUGAAUUAAAAAAAAAUGGCGAGGAGUUAAAAGAGGUAAGGAUCAUUGAAAAGAUACUUCGAUCAGUAAACUUGAAGUUUGACCAUAUUAUUGUGACAAUUGAAGAAACAAGAGAUCUGGAGGAUAUGACGAUCGAGCAACUUCAAGGAAGGUUGCAAGCCUAUGAAGAAAAACAAAAAAAGAAGCAAGGAAUCAAAGAACAACUUCUUAAGAUGGAAGUCAAUUCAAAGAAAAGAGAAGAAAGCUCCGACAACGAGAGAAUGCACUAUGUCGGAGGUAGAGGUCUUGGUCAUGGAUGAGGUUGGAAUUUCAACAACAACAACUCCAAUUAUGUCAAAGGAGAAAGUUCAACUAGAGGACGAGGCAGAGGCAAUCCAAGAUCGAGGUAUGUCAAAUCCCAAGUACAAUGCUAUAAUUCUCAAAAGUUUGGGCAUUAUGCUUCAGAAUGCAGAGCUCCAAGCACCAGAAUUGAAGAGAGAGUGAACUAUGUUGAAGAGAAAAAUGGUGAAGAUGGCACACUUUUACUAGCACACAAUGACACAAGUGGAGGUCAAGAAAAUACAUAGUAUCUUGACACAGGUGCUAGCAAUCAUAUAAGUGGAAACGGAAGCAUGUUCGUGCAACUAAGUGAAUCUGUGAAUGGCAGUGUCGCUUUUGGAGAUGAUUCAAAAGUACCAGUGAAGGGUAGAAGUAACAUUUUUUUUUGGUGCAAAAGAUGGUAGCCACCAAAUAAUUUCAAAUGUUUACUAUGUGCCCAAUAUGAAAAGCAACAUUCUUAGUUUAGGUCAACUUUUAGAAAAAAGCUAUGAUAUUCACUUAAAAGAUUAUAAUAUUUUCCUAAGAGAUGACAAAGGAAAUCUAAUUACAAAGCUGGAAAUGUCGAAGAAUAGAAUGUUUCCAUUAAAUAUUCAAAAUGAUGUUGCAAAAUGUCUCAAAGCCUGUCACAAAGAUCAAUCCUGGACUUGACAUCUUCGAUAUGGGCAUCUCAACUUUGGAGGACUGGAGCUACUAUCUAAGAAGAACAUGGUGAAAGGCUUACCAUACAUCAAUCACCCUGAUCAAUUUUGUGAAGGAUGUUUACUUGGCAAGCAGUUCAGAAAGAGCUUUCCAAAGGAGUCAAACUCAAGAGCUCAGAAGCCACUCGAGCUCAUUCAGACUGAUGUGUGCGGUCCAUUCAAGCCAAACUCUCUUGGUAAAAGUAACUAUUUCCUUCUCUUCAUAGACGAUUUUUUAAGAAAAUUGGGUGUAUUUUUUGAAGCAAAAAUUAGAAGUCUUUGAAGCUUUCAAGAAGUUUAAAGCUGCAGUUGAAAAAGAAAGUGGAUACCAGAUUAAAUCCAUGAGAUCUGAUCGAGGUGGAGAGUUCACUUCCAAAGAAUUUUUUGAGUUUUGUGAAGCAAAUGGAAUUCGACGCCCUUUGACAGUUCCAAGAUCCCCCCAACAAAAUGGUGUUGCAGAAAGGAAGAACAGAACCAUCCUCGACAUGGCAAGAAGCAUGCUUAAGAGUAAGAGGCUACCUAAAAAAUUUUGGGCUGAAGUUGUUGCAUGUGCAGUCUACUUAUCCAAUCGAUCUCCAUCAAGAAGCGUGUGGGGCAGGACGCCACAAGAAGCUUGGAGUGGAAGAAAACCUGGCAUCACCCAUCUAAGAGUUUUCGGAAGCAUUGCCCAUGUACAUGUACCAGACGAAAGUAGAGCCAAGCUGGAUGACAAAAGUGAGAAGUUCAUCUUCAUCGGCUACGACAACAACUCCAAAUGAUACAAGCUUUACAAUCCAAACAACGGGAAGAUCGUGAUCAGUCGAGAUGUAAUUUUUGAUGAAGAAGGAGAAUGGGAUUUUGGCUCUGGUGUGGAUGACUUCAACUUCUUUCCCAUUAAAGAAGAUGAUCAUACACAGAUAAAACAAGUAGACGAACAACAAGAGCCUGUCACUCCACCUAUCUCACCAGCAUCAACCACAUGCGGAGAUUCACCGUCGUCUUUCUUAAAUGAAAGAACCGAAGAACGUACAAGGAGUCUUCAAGAUCUCUAUGAGGUAACUGAGAGACAUAAUAAUCUCACUCUCUUUUGCCUCUUUGCUGAUUGUGAGCCAGUCAACUUCCAAGAAGCUGCACUAGAUGAGAAGUGGAGAAUUGCAAUGGAUGAAGAAAUCAAAGCCAUUGUGAAGAAUGAUACUUGGGAGCUUACUACUCUUCCAAAAGGUCACAAGGCGAUCGGUGUCAAAUGGGUGUAUAAAACAAAAAGAAAUGCGAAUGGAGAAAUUGAAAGGCACAAGGCGAGGCUAGUUGCAAAAGGCUAUAGUCAAAAGGCUGGCAUAGACUAUGACGAGGUAUUUGCUCCUGUAGCUCGACUUGAAACUAUUAGACUUAUUAUUUCUUUGGCUGCUCAGAACAAAUGGAAGAUUUUUCAAAUGGAUGUGAAGUCUGUUUUCUUGAAUAGAUUCCUUGAAGAAGAAGUUUACAUUGAACAACCAUUAGGCUAUGUGGUGAAAGGACACGAGGACAAAGUUUUGAGAUUGAAGAAAGCUCUUUACGGGUUAAAGCAAGCACCAAGGGCAUGGAAUAGCAGAAUUGACAAGUAUUUUCAAGAGAAAGGCUUCACCAAAUGCCCAUAUGAACAUGCUCUCUACAUCAAAGAAAAAGAUGAAGAUAUUUUGAUUGUGUGCCUGUAUGUGGAUGAUCUCAUCUUCACUGGAAGUAAUCCAAGCUUGUUUGAAGAGUUUAAGAGAGUGAUGAUCAAAGAGUUCGAAAGGGCUAACAUCGGACUGAUGGCAUAUUACCUCGGCAUUGAAGUCAAGCAAAAGGAAGAAGGCAUAUUUAUCUCCCAAGAAAGCUAUGCAAAGGAGAUUCUCAAGAAGUUCAAGAUGAAUGAUUGUAAGCCUAUAAGCACGCCAGUGGAAUGCGAAGUCAAGUUAUCCAAAUAUGAUGAAGGCGAAGAUAUAGAUCCAACAUUCUUUAAAAGUUUGGUUGGAAGCCUACGUUAUUUGACAUGCACAAGACCAGAUAUCCUUUAUGCUGUUGGACUUGUGAGUCGAUACAUGGAGAAUCCAAAGAUCACCCAUUUUAAAGCUACAAAAAGAAUCAUUCGCUACAUUAAAGGUACAAUUAAUUUCGGCUUGUUAUACUCAUUUUCUAAUGACUACAAGCUUAUUAGAUAUAGCGAUAGCGAUUGGGGUGGAGAUGUAGAUGAUCGAAAGAGCACAACAGGAUUUGUGUUCUUCAUGGGAGAUACUGCUUUCACAUGGAUGUCAAAGAAGCAACCAAUUGUCACGCUAUCCACCUGUGAAGCUGAAUAUGUAGCCGCCACAUCAAGUGUUUGUCAUGCAAUUUGGCUCAGAAAUUUGCUGAAGGAGUUGAGUUUGGCACAAGAAGAGCCAACCGAGAUUUGUGUUGAUAACAAAUCAGCAAUUGCCCUAUCCAAGAAUCCAGUCUUUCAUGAUCGAAGUAAACACAUAGACACUCGCUAUCAUUUCAUAAGAGAGUGUAUUGCGAGAAAAGAAGUGCAAAUCAAGUAUGUAAAAUCAUAAGAUCAAGCAGCUGAUAUCUUCACUAAGCCACUCAAGCAAGAAGACUUUGUAAGAUUCAGAAGUUUGCUUGGUGUCACAGGAUCAAGUUUAAGGGAAGGUGUUGGAUCAUAAACUUGAUCCAAGAUAAAUAAAUCAAGCCCAACUCAUGGAAGGUUCCAUGAAUAGGUAUGGUUGGUGAGGUUUGAAUUAGUUGUGUUAGGUGUGUUAGGUGUGGUUGGUGAAGUAGGUGAGUGGUAGGUUUUAAUGGAUGGUGAGGAUUUGUUUAUUAGUUGAAUAAAUGAAUGGUUGUAAUUAGUUUGUUUCAUGUAUAAAUACCCCCUCUCCCCUUUGGUUUAAAUAUCAAGUGAAGUAGCAAAAUCUCUAAGGUGUAGAGAGUGAAAAAAUAAGAGUUGUAAUUGGUGAGGAGUAUUGUUGAAGAAAUAAAAUAGUGUGUUUUAUUUAUUAAUUCUCCAACACAAACCCUCUAUUUUUAUAAAAAAUAAAUAAAUAAGUUAUAUAUUAGAAUAAUAAAUUAAAAAUUAAAAAAUAAUGAAAAAAAGCUUAAAUCCCUAAUUUAUAUAUCAAUAAUGAAUCAAAAAACCCAAAUUAUAAAUUAUACUAUCUUUUACGUUUAAUUAAUUAAAAGAGUGCUUGAAUUAGAGAAUCCAGUAUUAAAAAAAUUAAAUCUCUAAAUUUUUAUUUGUUUUUUUCUUUCUUUAUUAUUUUAUUUUAAAAUAUUCAUUUUCUAUAAUUCAUUGUUGAUUAUAAUAACUUGUUCAUUAUUAACUCAUUUUCAAAUUUACAACAAUUUAAAAAAAGUAAAAAAAUAAGUGAAAGUCCAAGCUUAGCCCGAGCCUGGCCCUUAAACUUCCCCUCUAAUAGGCUUAAGCCGGACUUUUUCACCAUCCAUAAUUUAUAUUGCUCUUAAGUAUUAUACCAAUUUUAUUCUUUUAAUUAUCUACGUGUCCUUCAUUUUUUAGUUCAAAAAUAUCUUAUUAAAUUUACCUUCAAACAGGAAUCAAUGGUUGUGGCACAAGGCAUUAGUUAUAGUAAAUGAUAGAGUUGGGCUACCGGAAGAAACAAUGAAUUAAAAAACAAUAGCUAUUGGUUGCAGAUACGUAGUAUAAUAAGUUAUAAUAACACGUCAGUAUUUUAAUUUUUUUAAUUAAUAGAACAAUAUGUGAGUUGGUUGAAAACAUUUAUUAUAAGUCUUACAUCCGGGUUAAAAUAGAAAAAAAGAAGUAUUUAAGCACGUUGACAUUUUUAAUAAGACAUUAUUAGCGGGAUAUUAGGAACGUCAUCGGAAUUUUAAUGGAUUUUAAAAUAGUAAAUUACAUGAGGAGUUUUAUCAUUAUCCUUUCUUAAUAUAUCUUGAUGGUAUGUCCUUUGUAGGUCCAUUGUCAUUUGACUACGAAAAUUCUAGAGAAAACUCCUCAAAGUUGUUGUUGAAUCCAUACUCAUGGACAAAGGUGAGACAUUAAUUAGAAAAUUCUUUUACAAACUUUGUGUUUUAAUAAUAAUAAUAAUAAAUUUGGAAUUGUAUUAGAGAUCUCAUUGGGAGUUGCAUGUAAAUUAUUAUUCAGGUUGCCAGUAUUAUAUUCAUAGAUGCACCAGCUGGCACCGGAUUCUCAUAUGUCAAAAAUUGGCAAGGAUUCGUUAUGAAUGAUACACUUUCAGCAGUGCAAACGUAUUUUUUUCUAAGAAAGGUGAGUAAAAAUUGAGGUGGUGUGCGUCUUACUGCAUAAUAAAAUCACUAACAAUUAAUUUAUUAUAAGUUGAUGACCAUUUGUAAGAAUAUUAGCUUAGCUUUAAACUAAAAGUUAAUAUUUUAGCUGUUGUGCUUUAUUAAUUAAGUGGAAGUCCAAGUAGUGCAAACAUAUAUACCUUAAAUCAUGCAUCAAUUGAGUCUAUUGGUUUUCAAAAUUAAUGCAUUAUGCAUGCUAACCAAUCUUUUUAAUUUGUAUAUGAAUGAUGGAUUAGUGGCUUAUAGCUCAUCCCAGUUUCCUCGCGAAUCCACUCUAUAUUUUUGGCGAUUCCUAUUCUGGCAAAGUUCUUCCAAUCGUUGUUCAAAAAAUUUCUGACGGUAAUUUUUUUUUUCCCCUUCUUCCAUCUUAGAAUUUAGUUACUCUGCAUGCUGUGAAACAGAAUCAAACAUUUGCCAAAUUCACUUGCAGAAUAUAAUGGCAUUGAUUAUUACCGUAUUUAUCACAAUUAUCAUUAUUUAGUUGCUGAUACUUUGUUGCAGGUAUUGAUCUCGGAGAUGAGCCCAGAAUGAAUCUCAAAGUAGGUCACCUAGAAUCGGAUAUCACAUAAAUUUUGAUUUAUUUCAUUCUCAGUUUUUUACAGGACUAUUGAAUCUUAACAAUUUUGAUAAUGGACACAGGGAUAUUUGCUUGGCAACCCAGUAACAGAUGAGGCUUUAGACACCAAUUUUAGACCACAAUUCGCAUAUAUGAAGGGACUCAUCACCCAUGAAAUCUACGAGGUGACUUCUUUAAUCGUAUAUAAUUUUCAAAUUAAUAUUUUUUGUGUCUAAAUAUAAAAUCCUUUCUCUAAUGUAAGUGUCUUCAUUUUUUUCCCAUGCAGAUAUUUUAUUAAGUCAUAUAGUUUAAUAGAGUACUAUUAAUUUUUAAGUUAAUAAGAUAAGAUUUUUUUAAAGUUUAUUAUCUAAUAAAUUUAUUGAAUUAUUAAUUUGUCAUUUGACCCAAGCCAAGACUAACAAAAACUAUCUUUUAAUUGAAAUUAUCAAAUUUAUCAAGUAUUAAUUUAACCAGGUUCCGUUGUAUAUGUAAAACAUAGAUUUAGCUAGUUACUGGUAACCAAUUAGUGGCGAAGCCAUGUUAGGACCUAGGGUUGGCAGAAUUCCCUAAAUCUCUUUUGAGAUUCGGGAUCCAGGCCCAUUUGAGACGAGAUUCGAAAUCAAAUUUAUCUUAGUUUACUAUUCGGAUCAGGAUUGGGACUCAAAUUUUUCCUAAAUUAUUGCUUGGUACAGGAUUCAAGAUGUUUGAAGAUCCUGAUCAGGAUCUUAAACGUCUCGAAAUCUCAGUUUCCACAGGUGCAUGACAAAUUAAUUUGAUGAAUCAGUAUCACAUAUAUAUAUAUAGAAUAUAUCAGUCAUAUGUUUAUAACACAUCAUUUUAAUAAAUAAAAUAUAUAUGAUAUGUCGGUCAUAAUCGUAUGACAUGUCGUUUAUGAUAAAAACUGCAAUGUGUGAUAGAAAACUCAUGUUAUUCGGAACAAUUCAAGAUCCCAAUUGAGACGGAUCAGGAUCCAUUUUUGUCCCAAUUUACUACUUGAUAAGGGAUUUAGAACACAUUUUUUGCCCGAUUAUCUAUCAGGACAGGAUCAGUAUUGACAAAUCCUAGCCCGUUCGGGAUAAAUUUUUAACCUUACCAGGGUUGAAGUUAUGUAAAAUCCUCAAUAUUUUAGGUUCAAAUUAUAAGGAGAAAAAAAAUGGUGGGUCCUGUAGGUCUUAUUCAUCGAUAAGUAGUUGACAUCCACAUUUAUAUAAAAAUCAGACACCAAAAUUAAAAGAAGGAUAUAAAUACAAGGUAUGAUAUAUGAAUAUGAACUGCCAUGUAUUAAUUGCUUAAAAUGUGUGAGAUGCUUCUUUUAUUUUCUGUUUACAGUCAGCCAAAAGAAAUUGCAGGGGCGAGUACACGAAUGCAGAUCCAAGCAAUGGCUUAUGUAAAGCUGAUCUUCAAAAUAUAACAGCGGUAUAUAGAACAAAACUCGUUGUCAUUUUGUUCAAUUAACUAGUAUUAUAAGUACAGGUAGCAAAAUUAACUCACCCAAUUGCAUUUGUAGUGCAUUGGAAAAUUAUGUAUCCAGAACAUAUAUGAACCUCAAUGUAGUUUAGAUAUACUCAGAAGACCAGUGCAAUUCAUGUGGGAUCGCGCCAUCAUCGAAGAAGAUUCUUUUGAUUUUCUCUAUUCGCCAGUUCAAUCAGCCCCAAGGCAUUGGUGUCGGGUAAAAUUCUAUACACACACACAAUAAAUGUGCAAUAACCCAUCAAUGUGUAUAGAAUCAAUCAAUCAACUUUGAUCAAGGUAACGUAUUUCAUAUCCAAUUAAUUUUGAACGUUAAUGUCUCUUUCAGUCCUAGGGUCUGAUUUAAUUACCCUAUUAGUCCUUGAAUCUAUAAGUUAUUUGUUUUUGUAAAAUCAACUUAAUUAUACUUAACUUUUCAUAUGUUGCAUGUCAGACCAAAAAAAAAAAAAAAAACCUUCGCUCGUAAAAAGUUAGAUCUAACAGUUGUGGAAAUAACACUAGAAACCAACUAAUAACCAAAACUGAAAACUCAAUGGAAUAUAUAUAGGGGAAUUUACUCAAUUUUAAACGUAAACAUAUAUAAGCAGCACUGCAGCGCACAUCUGUUUCUAAGGUUUCUUUACUUUUAUUAUUAUUGUUGUUAUUAUUGCAUAUUUGCUAUGUAAUCAACAAUUAUAGUAUGAGCUGCUGAUGUUCCACUUUCAUAGAAAGAUAACUAUUUCUACUCGUACAAUUGGGCAAAUAAUAAAGCUGUGCAAAAGGCUCUGAGAGUUCGGG